AACUUUUAACAACGGAUCUCUUGGUUCUGGCAUCGAUGAAGAACGCAGCCAGCGAAAUGCGAUAAGUAAUGUGAAUUGCAGAAUUCAGUGAAUCAUCGAAUCUUUGAACGCACAUUGCGCCCCCUGGUAUUCCGGGGGGCAUGCCUGUUCGAGCGUCAUU
Molecule: ribosomal RNA, 160 nt
Filed under: Cladosporium sp. stklk11
Lineage: Eukaryota; Fungi; Ascomycota; Dothideomycetes; Cladosporiales; Cladosporiaceae
Description: 5.8S ribosomal RNA
Rfam family: 5.8S ribosomal RNA
About the family: 5.8S ribosomal RNA (5.8S rRNA) is a component of the large subunit of the eukaryotic ribosome.
Source: RNAcentral